Molecule: ribosomal RNA, 450 nt
Filed under: Triticum aestivum (bread wheat)
Lineage: Eukaryota; Viridiplantae; Streptophyta; Magnoliopsida; Poales; Poaceae
Description: partial small subunit ribosomal RNA
Source: RNAcentral
AUGCUGCGCAGCUUCCCCCAGGCCCGUCGGCUUCUGAAGAGGCUGGGUUUUGAGAAGGGGGACGCCUACUUCUUUAAGCAGAUGGGCAAGGGCAUGCUAUGCACAUAUGCGCUUUUUGGCGCCGCGUGGUUCUGGAAUGAGACAUCACCGCUUGGCUGGUGGACGCUCAAGCCACGGCCCAAGGAAGAGAAGGAGAUGGCGCAUCUGUACGAUCGCAGGGAGUUCCCGUACCCGGGCGACGAGGAGGCGGUGGAGGAGUUCAUAAAGAGCGGGGGCGCCCUGGGCACGACGAUCGGGCCCAAGGGGUUCGCGGACGCCAACAUGGACUCGGACAACAUGCAGAAGCAGCUGCAGUCGAAGAAGUUUGACCAGGAGGCGCGCAAGCUGUGGUUCCGGAUGCGCAACGAGGUGGUGCAGGAGCUCCAGGAGAAGGGGUUCGACGUCGAAUGA